This 548-nucleotide ribosomal RNA is filed under the name Duellmanohyla salvadorensis (Guerreran stream frog). RNAcentral's name for it is "partial 16S ribosomal RNA". It matches the Rfam family "Bacterial large subunit ribosomal RNA", at positions 1847 to 2597 of the family's 2925-position model. The record is from RNAcentral. Lineage: Eukaryota; Metazoa; Chordata; Amphibia; Anura; Hylidae.
AAGAGGUCCAGCCUGCCCAGUGACUCUGUUUAACGGCCGCGGUAUCCUAACCGUGCGAAGGUAGCGUAAUCACUUGCCCCUUAAAUCGGGGCUAGUAUGAACGGCAUCACGAAGGUUACACUGUCUCCUUUUUCUAAUCAGUGAAUCUGAUCUCUCCGUGAAGAAGCGGGGAUAAAGUUAUAAGACGAGAAGACCCUAUGGAGCUUUAAACCAAGUAGCAGUUGCUUAUAUUUUUCAUAUUUCAGAAUCCUAACAUUUAUUCUAGCUAAAUGCCCACUGGUUUUAGGUCGGGGCGACCGCGGAGUAAAAAAUAACCUCCACAUUGAACGGAACCAGUUCCUGAGCCUCGGGUCACAACCCUAAGCACCAAUAAAUUGACAUUAAUUGACCCAAUGUUUGAUCAACGAACCAAGUUACCCUAGGGAUAACAGCGCAAUCCACUUCAAGAGCUCCUAUCGACAAGCGGGUUUACGACCUCGAUGUUGGAUCAGGGUGUCCCAGUGGUGCAGCCGCUACUAAAGGUUCGUUUGUUCAACGAUUAAAACCCU